RNAcentral lists this ribosomal RNA (454 nucleotides) under uncultured bacterium. RNAcentral describes it as "bacterial SSU rRNA". It matches the Rfam family "Bacterial small subunit ribosomal RNA", at positions 339 to 794 of the family's 1533-position model. The record is from RNAcentral.
GUACGGGAGGCAGCAGUGAGGAAUAUUGCUCAAUGGGCGAAAGCCUGAAGCAGCGACGCCGCGUGAGGGAUGAAAUCCGUUAGGAUGUAAACCUCUUUUGCAGGGGAUGAAUGUGCCGGUUUCCGGCAUUGACCGUACCCUGUGAAUAAGCACCGGCCAACUACGUGCCAGCAGCCGCGGUAAUACGUAGGGUGCAAGCGUUGUCCGGAAUCACUGGGUGUAAAGGGUCCGCAGGCGGGCAAGCAAGUCGGUGGUGAAAUCUCGUAGCUCAACUACGAAACUGCCCUCGAUACUGCUUGUCUUGAGUUCGAGAGAGGAUGAUGGAAUUCAUGGUGUAGCGGUGAAAUGCGUAGAGAUCAUGAAGAACACCGGUAGCGAAGGCGGUCAUCUGGCUCGAUACUGACGCUCAGGGACGAAAGCGUGGGGAGCAAACAGGAUUAGAUACCCCGGUAGC